RNAcentral lists this long non-coding RNA (214 nucleotides) under Salvia miltiorrhiza (redroot sage). Its description in RNAcentral is "long non-coding RNA (SMIL_LNC001274)". The record is from RNAcentral. Lineage: Eukaryota; Viridiplantae; Streptophyta; Magnoliopsida; Lamiales; Lamiaceae.
CACCUUGGCAAUAAGAUUAUUUUUGCCAUCUCUUAUUGAAAGGUUAUAAUCUCUCAUGUGAAUAUCAUAACCUUUCUCUAAGAGUUGUCCCAAACUCAAUAUAUUAUUCUUCAUAUUGGGCACGUAAUAAACGUUGGAAAUAAAUUCAUGAUUUCCAUUCUUCAAGCGGAUUAAAAUUUUCCCUUUUCCUCUAACUGGAAUUUUAGAUUCAUCA